UCUCUCCGUGUUCCUUCCCCAGAUUCUAUCAUCCUCCCUCUUUCUUUCUCUCUCUGUUUCUAUUUCUCAAAUAUAUUUUUUCAUUAUUUAAAAAUAAAAAAAUAAAUUAGAAACCCUCGAAUGCACAAACUUCCUCAUCGUCAAAACCUCGCCUCCACAAAGCAAUUCCAAAUUCCUGUGACCAAACACGCCCUCUUUCUGUCUUUCUUCCCGAAACCUAAUUUUGAUCCGCCCCUCAAUCUAUCCACCAUUUAAUUUAAUGCCCCAAUCCCCUCUCUUACAUUUGCUAUUUGGUCCCUCUUCCUCCUCACAACUAUCUUUAUACUUUCCAUCGUUGAUUCGCCGACGCUUCCAACUUCCAAAACAUUCUCCUUAGGUUUUGAUAAAUCUCAACCAAUCUGUAUCACUAAUCUGCUUCUUAUUUUUAUCUUCAGGGUUUCAGCAUAUCCUUUUUCUUUACUAAUAUAUUCAGUUUGUUAUAAAUUUACAAUUUUGUAUUCUUCUUUAGGUUAUAUAAAUGUCAAAACCUAAAAUUCUUCUUACUAUUACUUAAGAAAAAGGUUAAUAAUAAUUGAAACUCAAGCAUAAAAACAAAACUGAUAGACUUUGAAUUCGAGAAACUUAGUUUGAUCGGCAAGUUGUUUUAGUAGUUGUGGUGGCGGUGGCGGUGACAUUUUGGGUAAAGAUUAGCAAAGCGAAAAUUAAAGGGAUUGCAUGGGAGAGCAUGAAGGGCGGAGAGAGCCACCAAGUGGGCUAUUAUUAAACGGGUUAUUGCCCAAUGAAGCAGGUUCAGUGAUCCGACCACUUGACCCGGGACGAUGGUUGAAGGCAGAGGAGAUAACUGCAGAGCUUAUUGCCCGCAUUCAGCCCGACCCCUUUUCCGAAGAACGCCGCAAUGCUGUUGCAGCUUAUGUUCGGCGCCUCAUUAUCCAAUGCUUUCCUUGUCAGGUUGCCAACUUUUACAUAUGUGUGAGAAUUUGUUUAUGCUGCGUUGCUUUAUUGAUUCGACCCAAUGAACAUGUAUUAUGUUGAGUUUUGUUAAUGUUGUAUAUCCCGGUUUAACUUAUUAGUCAAAACACAGGCAUAAAUAGUUGCAAUCAUCCUAUAUUUAGUGAAUGUGAUGGGGUGUUGAACAAAUUGGCAUCAUUUAAGCUUUUGCAUUUUCAUUUAUUUUAUGUUAUUAUUCACUAGUGAUUAUUUUUGUGUACAGGUUUUUACUUUUGGGUCUGUACCCCUUAAGACCUAUUUACCAGAUAGGGACAUUGACUUAGGAGCUUUUAGUGAUGAUCAAACUUUGAAGGACACAUGGGCUCAUCUGGUGCGUGAUAUGUUGGAAAAUGAAGAGAAGAAUGAGCAUGCUGAAUUCCGUGUCAAGGAGGUUCAGUACAUUCAGGCAGAAGUGAGUUUCAUCGUACCCUGGUUUUCUAAAGAUUGUGGCUCAUAGUCUUCCAUUCAUGCCCUGUAUUAUUUGAUGGAAAAUUUCCGUCUGAUGUAGUUUUACAAAUUUCAAACUUGUGAUUUAUUUUAACUGGAGAUAAGUUUGGAUUUAUCCCCUGAAAUUUUAGUUUCAGAGUUGCAAUGCUAUUCGUUGUGACUGAUUGUGGUGAUUUAUUUAUCUGAGAAGAUGCUUGAUUGUCCACUAAACCGUUACUGUUAUUAUGGUUAUCUAAAUUCUUAUUUGUGGAUUUUCUGCAUAAAUUCUAAUGUAACCUAUAUAAGCCCAUUUUGCCUCAAGUUUUUUGUUUUGUACUGAAUUUAACAUUCUUUUUCUGUUAUUAUUUGUAGGUAAAGAUAAUAAAGUGCCUUGUCGAUAAUUUUGUUGUAGACAUAGCAUUUAACCAGCUUGGUGGGUUAUGCACUCUUUGUUUCCUUGAUGAGGUCCGUGGUGCAUCAACUUUGCCAUUGAACGUUUCCUUUUCAAAUUGUAAUCCAUUAUGCUGAUUAUGUUUAUUUGCUAACUGUUUUUUUCUGCUUAAAUAGGUUGAUCAUAUGAUAAAUCAGAAUCAUCUUUUCAAGCGCAGCAUUAUACUGAUAAAGGCUUGGUGUUAUUAUGAAAGCCGAAUAUUGGGUGGUCACCAUGGACUUAUAUCAUCUUAUGCCUUGGUCACAUUGGUUCUUUACAUAUUUCAUGUUUUCAAUGGUUCUUUUGCUGGUCCGCUUGAGGUGGCUAUGUGAACAUUUUCUCACUAUUUUCAUACAUUUGUACUUUUAGUAGUCUGAUAGUUUUUAUCUUUCCACUCGUAGGUCCUUUAUCGUUUUCUAGAGUUUUUUAGCAAGUUUGACUGGGACAACUUCUGUCUAAGCCUUUGGGGUCCUGUACCCAUCAGUUUGCUUCCAGAUGUAACGGGUAUAGAUAUUUUGCUUGAAAAUUCUAAUUUUGAUCCUCGCAUAAGUGAUCAUCAAGCUUGAUGUUUCCCCUUGGUCUGUUUUACAGCGGAACCUCCUCGAAAAUAUGGUGGAGUGUUACUUCUUAGCAAAUCGUUUCUUGAUUCUUGUAGGUAUGCAUAUGCUGAUUUUCCCUGUGGCCAAGAAAAUCAGGGCCAACCCUUUGUUUCAAAACAUUUUAAUGUCAUCGAUCCUUUGCGUGUAAACAACAACCUUGGGCGCAGUGUUAGUAAAGGUGCAUUGACAAACUAUAUACUACAGUUCUAUUUCUUUUGUGGGCUUAUUAUUUGUUGCGAUACUGUGAUAUCAUCUGUUCAUUCCUCUGGCAUGGUGAAUGUGAUACUAUUAAUUUUAUUUUGAAUUAAUAUCUUUCUUUUUUUUUUGAAUGAUCUUUGUAAUUCCAUGAAACAUUGCCUGUUCCUAUUUUUUAAUGUUUUGCUUAUUUUUAUUUCUUACCUACCAUUUUCCAGUGGCAAUUUGAACUGUCUUCAUGUGGUUCUUUUUUGUAGCCUGCUUGGGCUCCAAUGUCGGUUAGCAUAAGCAGGUUAUAUUUUAGUUUAGUUGUGGCUUCAUAUAUGCCUAACCUUUUUAUGAUUGUAUGCUAUGAAUGGCAUCUUAAUAUGUUUUUGCUUGGUUACUUUCUUAAUUUUUCUUCACAAUAGAAAAUUUCACUUCUUUACUAGGUGAACUCCUGUGUUGGUCUCCAUUGAUUCACUUUAUGCAUCUGGUAUCUUGUAGUUGAUUUAUUCUCGAGAAGGGCAUUGUCUAAGAAGUUACCUGUGACUUUUUCUAACCCUCCCACACUUAUUGUGGUGGUGCUUACUUUUAACAAAUGAAAUAAAACCAAGAGCAGAAUAAAUACAUGGGGAUGAGAACCUUACCCGCAUCAACCCUUUCCAUAUUAUCAUUCAAAGUUGGGCGACCGUGGGUGCAAAGUGCAUACGCGGCCAGCAGAGCUACGCCCAAGGUGUCACGCUCAGAUGAUCCUAGAUAUGUUUAUAUUAACUAUGGGGUUUCUAUAUUUAAAUAUUUUUAAUAAAUGUAAAGGGCUUAAUAGGCAUUAUGAUGAAGAUAACCUUUUAUAAUAUAAUUUAUUUGUUUACAAGUGUUUUGUGUUUGUGACUUCAUUGGCUUCACUUUUUCUUUGGGAUGGAAUUCUAAAUGAGUCCACUGUAGUUGUUAAUAACCUUCAAAUAAUCUAUUUUUACCUCAAAACAUCUUUUAUAUUCUUUGUAUGAUCCUAUUUUUAGUGUAGCCGUCGAUAACCUUCACACAUUUUGGCAAAAUUCACUGCAUCUGUGAAGCAAAUGGUAUGGAACAUAUACUUAUAAGCUUGCACAAAUACAUUUAUAUGGUCUGAGUUCAAUAUAUUGUUGCACAAAUAUGGAGUAUCGGCUAUGAGAUUGUAGUGCUUUUGAUGUGCUUGUAAUUCUUGGUCUGAUUUUCUACUAUCUGAAAUUUUGUAAUUUGUUUCCUUCUGUCUAUAUAAAUUGGCCAGGUAACUUCUUUAGGAUACGCACGGCAUUUGCAUUUGGGGCUAAAGGGCUGGCAAGGUUACUUGAUUGUCCCAAUGAGGACUUAUAUAAUGAAGUAAAUCAGUUUUUUAUGAAUACCCGGGAUAGACAUGGUAGCGGCAUUCGUCCGGAUGCACCAAGGAAUGACUUGUGGCGCUUGCGAUUGUCAAAUCGAGACCAUCAACAUGAGCCUGAGAAUCUCCACAACAAUUCAGGUUUAGGUGGCAAAAGAAAUGAGAUUUCCAUUGGUUGUGAAUCUCAAGUUGACAGAUCGCAUGGUAGUGCUUCAUCUCAGCAUAUUAAUAGUCCUGUUGAAAGUACUUUUAGGGUCAGUUCUGUUUCCACAGUUUCUCGUACACAAACCCAAAAAAACUAUGGUAACUUGAAUAGCACCAGGGCUUUUGAUCAGGGUAGAAGGGAUGCUAGUAUUAAUCAGAAUGCAAAUAAUGAUAAAGGUAACAGAAGUUUUAAACCUGAUACAAUGAUUGGUGACAUUAAGGGUAGAUAUCUGUUUGCACGGACACGCUCUAGCCCCGAGCUUACAGACACGUAUGGUGAAGUUACCUCCCAAGGGCGGCCUAAGAAACCCCCAGAAAGUGUAAAAUGCCAGAUGUCUUCUUCAAAGUUGGAGAAUAGUAGAAGGAAGAACUUGGAAUCUGAUAUUUUGGCAAGCCAUGACAUUAGAUCUUCAACUGGCAAUCCUUCAUCUGUUAGUCACACUGCAUCCUGUCAGAGCUUUGAUGCUACUGCUGAUUCAAACAGUGUGUUUAAUAGUUACGGUGAUGAUCUGGUCUUGGGUGCUAUGAGUGAAGAAUUUUCUUCUGUUGCAGGGACACAAGGGAUGCAACAGGAAGAGCAAGAUCUUGUGAACUUGAUGGCAUCUUCCAUGGCUCAUGGUUUUAAUGGACAGGUCCGCAUUCCACUGAAUUUAGCUUCUGGUCACUUACCUCUUCCUCUACCACAUUCAAUUCUAACUUCAAUGGGAUAUUCUCAGAGAAAUUUGGGUGGAAUGGUUCCCACCAAUCUUCCCUUCAUUGAGACUGCAUCGGGUGCCAACAUGCAGUUUCCCCAAAGUUUGGUUUCCUCACCUUUAACCCAUUUUUUUCCUGGUGUUGGAUUGACCUCAAGCUCGGAAGAUUCACUUGAACGCGGUAAUGAAAAUUUUGGUCCUGUGGAAACGAACCCUAUGGAGGGUGAUAAUGAUUACUGGCAUCAGCAGGACCGGGGUUCUGGUGGCGGAUUUGAUCUUGAGAAUGGAAAUUUUGAGAUGCUUCAGUCUGACGAUAAGCAGCAAUCAACUUCAGCUGGUUAUAACCUUCUUCCUUCAUCUCAGAUAGGUGCCUCUAGCAGUGCUAGAAGAGCUCCACAUAAAUUCAACAAAGAUGCCAGGGAGUCAAUGAGGGAAGAUCAUGAAGAUUCUUUCCAUUAUCUAGAUAGUAGAGGUAACGAGGUUUACUUUGAUGACAGAUCUGCCAGUUCAAGAUCUAUGCCUGCUUCACAUACAAGUUCUGUGAAAAGUAAAACCAAUUCUGAGAGUUCUUGGGAAGGAUCAUCGGCAAAGGUCUCAAAACCAGCUAAAGAAAAAAGGGGUAGAAAAAUGGCUUCUACUGCUUCUCCAGUGUAUGGAAAAGGUAGUAGUGUGUCAGAACAUUCUUCUGUUCAGGCUGAUGAAGACAACAAAGAAUGGAAUCUGCUUCCAACCAUGGGGUCUGAAAUACCAGACAGGAGUGUAGGACUUCAAUCCCUUGCUCCUUUACAUAUUCCAAGGCAUCAAAUGCCCGGAUCUGAAGAAGCUCAGACAAGUGGGUCAGAAUCAGUGAUUCCGAUUGCUCCUGUCCUCUUAGGUCAUGGUGCUCGACAAAGGUCCCCGGACAAUUCAGAGGUUGUUCCCUGGACCUUUUAUCCCACAGGUCCACCUGUUAGCUUUUUUACGAUGCUUCCAAUGUACAACUUCCCAACUGAGUCAGGAACCUCUGAUGCAUCAACAAGCCAUUUUAGUGGGGAAGAGGGCCUGGGAAGCAGUGAUUCUGGUCAAAAGUUUGAUAUGUCUGAGGGACUUGAUCAGUCAGAGGCGUCAAGUACUUCAAUUUCUAUGAGAAGGUCUGCUCAUGUCGAACCAUUGGAGCACAAGUUUGACAUUCUCAACAGUGACUUUCCUAGCCAUUGGCAAAAUUUACAAUAUGGCCGGUUUCACAAUCUUCUUGUAAUUAGCAAUUUAGAGUGAGAAAAACAAAAGUGCUAUUUCCAGAAAAAGGAGAACAAGAAACCUUCAAGGCAUUUCAAUCAAGAUACUGCACCAUCCAUUAAUUGUUUGUUUAUUUUCAUAAUCGAAAUGGUAAUUAAAAAUAAUUAUUUGAUUUAAAAUCCUAUUAAAUACAAUCCAAUUUAUUUAAAUUAAUUGAUCCAGUUCGAAGUUUUAAAUGAACUUAUGUUAUUCAGAUGAUAUGAUUCCCGUGAGAGAAUAUAAACAAAAUCUAAAUUUUCAAAAUUUCUUAUCAUAUGAUUUAUUGUGGAUUUUUAUAAACGCAGACAGCUGAAAUAAAUUUAUGGCUUUAAAAUGACAAAAAAGUAUAUAAAGGCAAUGAGGCUGCGGCCUUGGGACGGUAAAAAUAUCGGGGUACAGUCUGAAUUCGCAAAGAUUUGGAACAUUCAGAUAUGGAAAAAUUUGGAUCCGCAUAUUAAAAAAUGUGGAUCCAGAUGCUAAAUUAUAGAAUCCGUACAUAUCCAAAUUCGAAUCCGGAUCCGGCCGAAAAAAGGAUAUCGCAUUAUUUUUUAAUUAAAUUAUUUACUAAAUUAAAAUUAAAUAAAAAUAUAUAAGUUAAAUGAAAAACAUAAUAGAAUUAAUUAAAAAACAUAAAUGAAACUAAAGUAAAAAAUAAAUUAUAUAUAUAUAUAUUGGAAUCCAUAUUAUUUUAUGUGGACUUGUAGUGUUUUUUUAUUUUAUAUAUGUAGUUUGCCAUCACUACUGCGGCCUGCUUCAAUUGCCUGCAACAGAAAUUGGGCCCAACACUUAUAUGGGCCUGCAUAAUUUCAAUUGGCUAGCCCAACUCAUUAAGGAAAAGUACAAAACGGCAGCGGCGAAUAAUAAAAAUAAAAACGAAAAUCUUCUUAAAUAAAAAAAGGAAAAUGGAAAGAACGGUAAGAGAAAAAAAAUUCAAAAAUUUUUUUAAUUUAAUUUAUUUUUUAUUACGUCUGCCCUGUCUCCCUCUUGCUCUCUCUCCGUGUUCCUUUCCCAGAUUCUAUCAUCCUCCCUCUUUCUUUCUCUCUCUGUUUCUAUUUCUCAAAUAUAUUUUUUCAUUAUUUAAAAAUAAAAAAAUAAAUUAGAAACCCUCGAAUGCACAAACUUCCUCAUCGUCAAAACCUCGCCUCCACAAAGCAAUUCCAAAUUCCUGUGACCAAACACGCCCUCUUUCUGUCUUUCUUCCCGAAACCUAAUUUUGAUCCGCCCCUCAAUCUAUCCACCAUUUAAUUUAAUGCCCCAAUCCCCUCUCUUACAUUUGCUAUUUGGUCCCUCUUCCUCCUCACAACUAUCUUUAUACUUUCCAUCGUUGAUUCGCCGACGCUUCCAACUUCCAAAACAUUCUCCUUAGGUUUUGAUAAAUCUCAACCAAUCUGUAUCACUAAUCUGCUUCUUAUUUUUAUCUUCAGGGUUUCAGCAUAUCCUUUUUCUUUACUAAUAUAUUCAGUUUGUUAUAAAU
Molecule: long non-coding RNA, 7597 nt
Filed under: Citrus sinensis (sweet orange)
Lineage: Eukaryota; Viridiplantae; Streptophyta; Magnoliopsida; Sapindales; Rutaceae
Description: long non-coding RNA (CSIN_LNC004115)
Source: RNAcentral